This 497-nucleotide ribosomal RNA is filed under the name uncultured bacterium. RNAcentral's name for it is "partial 16S ribosomal RNA". It matches the Rfam family "Bacterial small subunit ribosomal RNA", at positions 28 to 507 of the family's 1533-position model. The record is from RNAcentral.
GAUGAACGCUGGCGGCGUGCCUAAUACAUGCAAGUCGAGCGAACGGACGAGAAGCUUGCUUCUCUGAUGUUAGCGGCGGACGGGUGAGUAACACGUGGAUAACCUACCUAUAAGACUGGGAUAACUUCGGGAAACCGGAGCUAAUACCGGAUAAUACUUUGAACCGCAUGGUUCAAAAGUGAAAGACGGUCUUGCUGUCACUUAUAGAUGGAUCCGCGCUGCAUUAGCUAGUUGGUAAGGUAACGGCUUACCAAGGCAACGAUGCAUAGCCGACCUGAGAGGGUGAUCGGCCACACUGGAACUGAGACACGGUCCGGACUCCUACGGGAGGCAGCAGUAGGGAAUCUUCCGCAAUGGGCGAAAGCCUGACGGGGCAACGCCGCGUGAGUGAUGAAGGUCUUCGGAUCGUAAAACUCUGUUAUUAGGGAAGAACAUAUGUGUAAGUAACUGUGCACAUCUUGACGGUACCUAAUCAGAAAGCCACGGCUAACUACGUG